GGGGAUUCAGCUCAGUGGCACAGUACCUGCCUGGCAAGCAUGAAGUUCUGAGUUCGAUUCCCAGUACCCCCC
Cavia porcellus (domestic guinea pig) is the source of this 72-nucleotide transfer RNA. It matches the Rfam family "tRNA". From Rfam's summary of the family: Transfer RNA (tRNA) molecules are approximately 80 nucleotides in length. Their secondary structure includes four short double-helical elements and three loops (D, anti-codon, and T loops). Further hydrogen bonds mediate the characteristic L-shaped molecular structure. tRNAs have two regions of fundamental functional importance: the anti-codon, which is responsible for specific mRNA codon recognition, and the 3' end, to which the tRNAs corresponding amino acid is attached (by aminoacyl-tRNA synthetases). tRNAs cope with the degeneracy of the genetic code in two manners: having more than one tRNA (with a specific anti-codon) for a particular amino acid; and 'wobble' base-pairing, i.e. permitting non-standard base-pairing at the 3rd anti-codon position. The record is from Rfam. Lineage: Eukaryota; Metazoa; Chordata; Mammalia; Rodentia; Caviidae.